GCGGACGUGGCGGAAUUGGCAGACGCGCUAGAUUUAGGAUCUAGUGUCACCGACGUGGGGGUUCAAGUCCCUUCGUCCGCACCA
Molecule: transfer RNA, 84 nt
Filed under: Acetivibrio thermocellus
Lineage: Bacteria; Bacillati; Bacillota; Clostridia; Acetivibrionales; Acetivibrionaceae
Also listed under: 7 other names
Description: Hungateiclostridium thermocellum tRNA_Leu_TAG
Rfam family: tRNA
About the family: Transfer RNA (tRNA) molecules are approximately 80 nucleotides in length.
Source: RNAcentral